This is a long non-coding RNA of Marmota flaviventris (yellow-bellied marmot), 1012 nucleotides long. RefSeq lists it as uncharacterized. NCBI's taxonomy places the organism in Eukaryota, Metazoa, Chordata, Mammalia, Rodentia, Sciuridae. The record is from RefSeq and is a predicted model, not a curated record.
CCAUCCGCUGGGUUUCCGGUCAGAGGGAGGGUAGGAGCUCCAGCCAGAGAGGGCAUGGGUGAAGCGCCUUCAAGACGCCCUCUGGGACUGGCCCUGCCAAGCAGGCCUGGCACCACAGGUGGCCCUCUGGCAUUGCCUGGGAGCUACCAGAGUUGAUCCAGAAGCAAUGAAAUUCUUCAGAAACAGACCCAAUCUGGCUUGAAUUUCCUCAGGCUCUCCAUCUUCCUCUUAGGAAGAUGAGAGGGAGGAGGAAUCAGCCAGGAUCCCAGGAGUUUUCAGAAGCCGGUUUCAACCCAACAUGGCUCUAUUUGGCUUCUCACACCACCACCCACCACCCACCACUGUUUUCAGGCAUGGAAUUUUGGAACUGGAAGGGACCUGAAAUAUCCCCUGCAGCCCUAUUUGGCAGAUGAGGACACUGAGUUCCACAGAUGUGAUGGAGGCAGUCUGGGCCUCACAGCUUCCAGCCUCUACUGUCUGCACCUCACCAGGAGCCAGGCCUCCGGGGACCCUGUGUGCACAGGACCCUCUCAGUAUGGAUCUAAAACUGCCCUCUGACAAACCUGCCCACAGCUGGGGACCUGGCCAGCACAACAUUUACCCCUUCUGGUCCAAAUGAACUUUCUUGAUCUGGACCAGAAAAGCCAAGAGUGGGAUGAGGUAAGGGAGAGAGGAUAGGAUGGUCCUGGUGACAUUGCCCCACCCCAUGCCUCUCGCACUGCUGUGGCCCCUAGGCACCCCAACCUGGUGCUGAUCAUUGCUUCCAAUCACCCCACUGUGCUGUACCCUAGUUCCUUCCGGCUAAACCAGGCCUCUUUCCUAGGUGCCAGUGGGGACAGAGGAGGAUCAACAUCACCUUUGCUGAUGUGCAGAGCAGGGCCAGGCCCCCAGGGCCUUUCCUCUCUUCCCAGGCACAAGGACUCUAACAACAGAAGCUCUAGUUCAGCCCAGGGAACAAGCUGGUAGGCCUUUUUCCAACGUCUCAUAAAAUCUUUUCCAGUCUUCAAGUCCA